UGGCCACCCCGAGUCCCAGCUGUUAAACUGUGUUUCUGUCGGCGAUGUUAGCGAUGUAGUUCAUACGCAUUUUUGAGGUGAGAAUCUCAAGUAAUUGAAGUAGUGACUCGGAAAGGCUUGGGAAGCAUUUGUUAUUGAGUCGGAAAGUUGAUUCUUCAAAGAAAGGUCGAAAUUUAAUGCUGAUGCUCUUUUAAUUAAAAUUCAAAUGUACGCAUUUUUU
Molecule: long non-coding RNA, 220 nt
Organism: Diprion similis
Lineage: Eukaryota; Metazoa; Arthropoda; Insecta; Hymenoptera; Diprionidae
Exons: 4
Source: RefSeq, a predicted model, not a curated record